Panthera uncia (snow leopard) is the source of this 1722-nucleotide long non-coding RNA. RefSeq lists it as uncharacterized. NCBI's taxonomy places the organism in Eukaryota, Metazoa, Chordata, Mammalia, Carnivora, Felidae. The record is from RefSeq and is a predicted model, not a curated record. The transcript has 3 exons.
AUUCGCUGCUCGCACAGAAAUACAGGGCUGAAUCCCCUGGCUCAGUGGACUUGAUUUCCAGGCUGCAGGGUAUCUAGGACUCUGGGUGACCUGGGUGUCCAUGGAGCCUGUGGAGGAAAGAGACAGAAACUGGAGAAAAAGCCCAGGAGGCAGACUGAUAUUACAGCCACGGGAGAAAGUCCAGAAACGGAAUCCAAGAAGCUUACCUGCUCCCCAGAAAAAAAGGGCCACACAGCAGAGAAGUUUGAAGCACAUGGUGGGCUCAGGGGAAAAGCAAUGGCACACGGCCUUUGCUUUAAGGCUUCCCCGUCCCCAUCAGAACCUCCUUGUGACGCGAUUGCUUGCCGUUGCCUUCACAGCCACUGUGUGUACGAGUCCAAAAUAUUUCAUAGGACGUGGGAGGGCAGGGAGAGCUGCUGAAAACCACUAGGGAUAUUCUUCCAACCAGCACCGAAAGUACCUCACCUGAGGUACCAAAAGUAUCCGACAGCUUCUUAGAUGGAGGAAGAUCUAUGCUUGCUCCUUAGGCAUUGGAGGUUAUUUUACAAGAAGACCCACAUCACCCCCUAGUGGUCAAAGGGGCAAAUUCGUCAGCCUACCUCUGAUCCCUCCCUGCCUUCACCUGCCAGGAGGUGAGUGGGGGGUUGCCGGUUCCACUUUGUGAAGGAGCAGCCAAGCACCUCCAGUAUUAGAGGGGGACUAGGACCCAAGCAGCCCUUGGUGUGGUAGCCUGCCUCCAUACCGCACAGAAUUGUUACUAGUAAUUGCUACACAUUUACUCAGUUAUUAAUCUAAUAUUGUUUGAUGCUUUAUUGGUAUAAUUUGCCUUCUCAACCUUUUCUAGCCGCCAUUUAAGUGCGAGUGCUCCUUCAGUUUCUGUCCUAGAUUCUCUUCUCUUUGUACAUUCCAUCAUCAAGGAUCGUAUGCUUUCAUUCUUCCAGUUCUGCUAAAUGUCCCAAAGUUUUAGCUCUCUCCCGUCUCAUCUUGUACUCACCCUCUUCCUCCCUCUUUGCUCAUGCCUCCCUACUAACUGCACCUUUCAUUAAUUACACCAAUUGCUUUCCUAGCUGAAAAAUGUUGCACCGACUCUUCCAGGCAUGCCUGUCGGUUCAUUAUCCCCAGUUCCACUUAAUUAACUCCGGCUCAUCUUUAGGAUGUCAUCUUAAACACGACGUCCUCUAGAAUCUGCUCUGUGGCUCUGUUAGGUCUCCCUGUGUCAUAGGCAGAGACACCUGGGUCCACACAAUACCCUGCCCGUGCCUGACUGAUACAAGGGCAGAGACACCGGAUCGCAACACAUAUUUUUUUCCCAUGACUUUGAAACUUUAACCUAGACAGGAGGUAGUGGUUGCUGAGGCUUUUUAUGCCUCUUUCAGAAAGAAGAUGUAUGAGCUCCUGUUGCUUAGGAACACGGGGCUAGGGUUUCUGUUCUCAUUAAACUGCAGUCAGUUGUCUCUUUUCUCAUCCUCUGAGCUCAUCAGGGCAUCCAGGCAAGCAACCAAUUCCCUUUAAUAAGUUAAGUUAGUGGGUUAGAAAAGGGGCCCUUUCCUCCUGUCUCGGAUUUACUUUCCUUUUAUUUUUGAACAGCUUUAUUGAGACAUCAUUGAUGCACAGAGAGCUGCACAUAUAAAAUGUAUAGAGUUUAAUGAGUUUGGAGAUAGGCAUACACCCACGAAUCCAGCACCACAAUGAAAGUAACAGAUGUAUGUGUUAGCUCCAAAA